This 442-nucleotide ribosomal RNA is filed under the name uncultured bacterium. RNAcentral's name for it is "partial 16S ribosomal RNA". It matches the Rfam family "Bacterial small subunit ribosomal RNA", at positions 338 to 795 of the family's 1533-position model. The record is from RNAcentral.
CCUACGGGUGGCAGCAGUGGGGAAUAUUGCACAAUGGGGGAAACCCUGAUGCAGCAACGCCGCGUGAAGGAAGACGGUUUUCGGAUUGUAAACUUCUAUCAAUAGGGAAGAAAGAAAUGACGGUACCUAAAUAAGAAGCCCCGGCUAACUACGUGCCAGCAGCCGCGGUAAUACGUAGGGGGCAAGCGUUAUCCGGAAUUACUGGGUGUAAAGGGAGAGUAGGCGGUCUGUUAAGUCAGCGGUCAAAGCCCGGGGCUCAACCCCGGCCCGCCGUUGAAACUGGCAGUCUCGAGUUGGAGAGAAGUAUGUGGAAUGCGCGGUGUAGCGGUGAAAUGCAUAGAUAUCGCGCAGAACUCCGAUUGCGAAGGCAGCAUGCCGGCUCCACACUGACGCUGAGGCACGAAAGCGUGGGUAUCGAACAGGAUUAGAUACCCUAGUAGUC